Neopsephotus bourkii (Bourke's parrot) is the source of this 493-nucleotide long non-coding RNA. RefSeq lists it as uncharacterized. The record is from RefSeq and is a predicted model, not a curated record. The transcript has 3 exons. Lineage: Eukaryota; Metazoa; Chordata; Aves; Psittaciformes; Psittacidae.
AUGAGCAUCCAGGCUUCUGCCUGGAGCUGUCACCAGCUCGUUUCUCAUCCCAGCCCAGCAGUUGGAAUCUCCCCAGGAAUAAUUAUUUCUUCAAAUGGAUUGUUGACCAGCCUUUUGGAAGAAAGAGCAGUACCUGGCAGCACCUUCUGAGGUCCAGAGUGAGCAUGGCAGCUAAAAGGACCCUGGAGGCACUGAAGAAUUCCACCAGCUUUGGCGACUGUCUGCAUCAGCUUUGAAUGCCACUUGGGAAUUCUGGACUACUAGCACACCAAGCAGUGUUUGCUAUUACCGCUGCAAAAUAUGCCAAGUAAAACCAGGAAUGAGCUGCAGAGGGCGUCUACCUCCAGGAUUUCAGCGUUCCCGUCGGCUCCCUCGCUGUGAGAGGGAAGGGUAAGAAAAAGGAAGAGAAAGGAAGGUGAAAUGCUGUCCAAGCCUCCAUCCAUGGGAGAUGAUGCAGGCGCUGAACUCUGCUCCAACACCAGCAGGCCCCUUC